GAUGAACGCUGGCGGCGUGCCUAAUACAUGCAAGUCGAGCGAACAGACGAGGAGCUUGCUCCUCUGACGUUAGCGGCGGGCGGGUGAGUAACACGUGUAUAACCUACCUAUCAGACUGGGAUAACUUCGGGACACCGGCUCUAAUACCGGAUAAUCUAUUGAACCGCGUUGUUCAAUAGUGAAAUUCGGUUUUUGUGUCACUUAUCGCUGCAUACGAGCCGCAUGAGCUAGUUGGUACGGUACAGGCUUACCAAGGCUACGAGGCGUAGCCGACCUCAGGGAGGGAUAGGCCACACGGGAGCUGAGACAGGGUCCAGACGCCUACGGGAGGCAGCAGUAGGGAAUCGUACGCAACGGGCGAAAGCCUGACGGAGCAACGCCGCGUGAGUGAUGAAGGUCUUCGGAUCGUAAAGCUCUGUUAUGAGGGAAGAACAAAUGUGUAAGUAACUAUGCACGUAGUGACGGUACCGAAUCAGAAAGCCACGGCUAACUACGUG
RNAcentral lists this ribosomal RNA (497 nucleotides) under uncultured bacterium. RNAcentral's name for it is "partial 16S ribosomal RNA". It matches the Rfam family "Bacterial small subunit ribosomal RNA", at positions 28 to 507 of the family's 1533-position model. The record is from RNAcentral.